Molecule: ribosomal RNA, 303 nt
Filed under: uncultured bacterium
Lineage: Bacteria
Description: partial 16S ribosomal RNA
Rfam family: Bacterial small subunit ribosomal RNA
Source: RNAcentral
AGCAGUCGCCGCGGUAAUACGUAGGGUGCAAGCGUUAAUCGGAAUUACUGGGCGUAAAGCGUGCGCAGGCGGUGAUGUAAGACAGUUGUGAAAUCCCCGGGCUCAACCUGGGAACUGCAUCUGUGACUGCAUCGCUGGAGUGCGGCAGAGGGGGAUGGAAUUCCGCGUGUAGCAGUGAAAUGCGUAGAUAUGCGGAGGAACACCGAUGGCGAAGGCAAUCCCCUGGGCCUGCACUGACGCUCAUGCACUAAAGCGUGGGGAGCAAACAGGAUUAGAUACCCGCGUAGUCCCUGUCUCUUAUAC